Molecule: ribosomal RNA, 485 nt
Filed under: uncultured bacterium
Lineage: Bacteria
Description: bacterial SSU rRNA
Rfam family: Bacterial small subunit ribosomal RNA
Source: RNAcentral
CGCCUUAUACUCCUACGGGAGGCAGCAGUGGGGAAUAUUGCACAGUGGGGGAAACCCUGAUGCAGCCAUGCCGCGUGUGUGAAGAAGGCCUUCGGGUUGUAAAGCACUUUCAGCGAGGAGGAAAGGUCAGUAGCUAAUAUCUGCUGGCUGUGACGUUACUCGCAGAAGAAGCACCGGCUAACUCCGUGCCAGCAGCCGCGGUAAUACGGAGGGUGCAAGCGUUAAUCGGAAUUACUGGGCGUAAAGCGCACGCAGGCGGUUGGAUAAGUUAGAUGUGAAAGCCCCGGGCUCAACCUGGGAAUUGCAUUUAAAACUGUCCAACUAGAGUCUUGUAGAGGGGGGUAGAAUUCCAGGUGUAGCGGUGAAAUGCGUAGAGAUCUGGAGGAAUACCGGUGGCGAAGGCGGCCCCCUGGACAAAGACUGACGCUCAGGUGCGAAAGCGUGGGGAGCAAACAGGAUUAGAAACCCCUGUAGUCCACGUACCA